Molecule: transfer RNA, 75 nt
Filed under: Escherichia coli
Lineage: Bacteria; Pseudomonadati; Pseudomonadota; Gammaproteobacteria; Enterobacterales; Enterobacteriaceae
Description: tRNA-Arg
Rfam family: tRNA
About the family: Transfer RNA (tRNA) molecules are approximately 80 nucleotides in length. Their secondary structure includes four short double-helical elements and three loops (D, anti-codon, and T loops). Further hydrogen bonds mediate the characteristic L-shaped molecular structure. tRNAs have two regions of fundamental functional importance: the anti-codon, which is responsible for specific mRNA codon recognition, and the 3' end, to which the tRNAs corresponding amino acid is attached (by aminoacyl-tRNA synthetases). tRNAs cope with the degeneracy of the genetic code in two manners: having more than one tRNA (with a specific anti-codon) for a particular amino acid; and 'wobble' base-pairing, i.e. permitting non-standard base-pairing at the 3rd anti-codon position.
Source: RNAcentral
GUCCUCUUAGUUAAAUGGAUAUAACGAGUCCCUCCUAAGGGCUAAUUGCAGGUUCGAUUCCUGCAGGGGACACCA